RNAcentral lists this ribosomal RNA (413 nucleotides) under Bacillus pumilus. RNAcentral describes it as "bacterial SSU rRNA". It matches the Rfam family "Bacterial small subunit ribosomal RNA", at positions 509 to 917 of the family's 1533-position model. The record is from RNAcentral. Lineage: Bacteria; Bacillati; Bacillota; Bacilli; Caryophanales; Bacillaceae.
CAGCAGCCGCGGUAAUACGUAGCGUGGCAAGCGUUGUCCGGAAUUAUUGGGCGUAAAGGGCUCGCAGGCGGUUUCUUAAGUCUGAUGUGAAAGCCCCCGGCUCAAACCGGGGAGGGUCAUUGGAAACUGGGAAACUUGAGUGCAGAAGAGGAGAGUGGAAUUCCACGUGUAGCGGUGAAAUGCGUAGAGAUGUGGAGGAACACCAGUGGCGAAGGCGACUCUCUGGUCUGUAACUGACGCUGAGGAGCGAAAGCGUGGGGAGCGAACAGGAUUAGAUACCCUGGUAGUCCACGCCGUAAACGGAUGAGUGCUAAGUGUUAGGGGGUUUCCGCCCCUUAGUGCUGCAGCUAACGCAUUAAGCACUCCGCCUGGGGAGUACGGUCGCAAGACUGAAACUCAAAGGAAUUGACGGG